Molecule: non-coding RNA, 30 nt
Filed under: Rattus norvegicus (Norway rat)
Lineage: Eukaryota; Metazoa; Chordata; Mammalia; Rodentia; Muridae
Source: RNAcentral
UCCAAAGGCCUGCCUCUUGAAAUAAGGAGU